AAAACCGCCCAAAUAUCUUCCGUAUAUCUUUGAUUCCCUGUGCGGCUUUUUUUUUUGCGAUUGCUUUUGUGUUGUCUGUGUGUGUUUGUGUGCGCCACCCACACGGGGAGCCGAACAGAGGACACGGCGAGCAGCGGCAGCAGCUGCGGAGCUCCGCUCGCACACAAGCAAGCGAAGGAAGGGGUGCAGUGUGUGCAGGUGCGCGGGUGUGACCAGUGUUGACCGACAGAGGGCGCGUGGUGCGAACCGAAAACGCAUGCCACGCACAGCACGCCAGCGUUACGCGUCCGUUUAGGUCUCCCUGUCUCUUCCUCUCCCCUUACUCGCUUACUCGUUGCCAUAUUUGCUGUUGACACUUUUGGGCUUUCGAUUUCGCUCCAGCGCGCGCUCUCUCCGUCUUUCUCGCGCUGUGCCACGCACGCCGCAAGAUGCCGGUGGAAAUCUCAAACAGCGACGAUGUGGACUUCUCGCAGUACUGCGUGCUGCAGAGCAAUGACCAUCCACCUGUAGAGUUCAAGGUGUCGCGUGAGUCGGCCAAGAUGUCGGGGCUGCUCAGGGACAUGCUGGAAGACCAGGAGGGCAACGAGGCGAUCAUCCCCAUUCCGAACGUGUCAGGGCAGACGCUCCGGCUCGUGCUAGAGUACAUGGAGUAUCACUGCGGCAACCCAGCGCAGCCCAUCGAGAAGCCGCUGAAGACGACGAUUGAGUCACUCGUGUGCGAGUGGGACAGCAACUUCCUCUUCAAUCAGCUCCUCAAGAACCACGACGAGAAGCAGCACGAGGUGCUCAUCGACGUCAUCAUGGCAGCGAACUUUUUGAACGUGCGCGACUUGCUCGAUUUGACGUGCGCCUGCGUUGCAAGCAUGAUCCGUGGCAAGACGGCGGAGCAGAUUCGCGAGCUGUUCAACAUCGAGAACGACUUCACACCUGAGGAGGAGGAGAAGAUUCGCGAGGAGAACCGCUGGUGCGAGGAGUCGUAGAAUCGACAAGUGAAGCUGAUCGCGUAACGUGCGCCUGCAUGCACUUUAGUGUCUAUCUGAGUAUGUGUGCGUGCUUUUUCCGCUGCCUCCGUCUGCGCUUUCUCUCGUCCCUUCCUUCGACACCAGUUGCACAGUAGUGUCUGCUCUCGCUAACCCUCGCCAUCCCCUCUUUCUGUGUCUUCGUGACACCAGUGAAGUGCUGGCGUGUGUGUGCGUGCGCGCUCUUCUUGUAUCUGUUCUGCAUGACCUUCACCGAGGGCACAGCGCAAAAAAAAAAGACGGGGGACCCACCCACACACGUCAACACUGACACUGACACGUGCACGCGUAUGCAAAGAGAGGAAGAGAGGCACGAUACGUAAGCGGACUGCGUUGUUGCGUCCGACUCAUGCGUGCUCGUGGGGUGUGCACUGGUCGAAGGAUUCGGCUCAUUGUGGGGUGUCACUCCCUGGUGAUGCAUGGCCGUGACACUCUCAUAGAGGGAAAUCAAGCGGGGCCGAAAGGCCGGACCGAUACGAAGGAGCCGGAGGCCUUUUCUUUUCGCGUUGGGGGUGGGGGAGUGCGUGGAGUGAGAGAGACGUGAGGUGUGCCCGUUGAUACGCAGCUGAUCACCGCUCUCGGCCUGGAUAUGUUUUCUGCUUGCCCCCACCGCACCCCAGCCCAGCCGCCUCUUCCUUGAAUGCACUGCGUACCUCGUUGCAGCUGUCCCUUUGGCUGGCUGAUUUCUGGGCUCUUUCUUGUAUGAGUCGUCGUUGUGUGCUUGGGUGUACGUGUGCACUUGUGUGGGGUCCGUCUGGCUGGCUCGCUGCCUGAGUUUUGCUUCCACGCGUGUGAGCGUGAGUGGGAUGGUGGCGAUUCGGUGCCCUCCUCGCCUUCCUCAGCCAUCUCUCUCUUGCGUAUGCAUGUGUGCGUGUAUGUGUGUAUGUGUGUAUGUGUGUAUUGUGUAUGCGUGUGCGUGUAUUGUGUGUGAGCUUGUGUGUGUCUCGGCUUUUCCUUCUAUUUUCCAGUUUUGUUUUUCUUCAUCCUUUGUUCUUCCCCUUUUCCUUGUCCUCUUAGUCUUGCGUGGUGGCGGUACCGGGUGUCGCGGCGGAGAGGUGCUGUCUGCUUGCUGUUGUGACUGUUGUUGGGUGCCGUGGCGGAGGGAGGUGUGUGCAGAUGCGCAUGGGGAGAGGCGUGCAGGCGAGCAGCAUUGCACGCGCACCUCUUGUGGUGGUCGUGGUGCACGCCACCAUGACCGGCAUCGCCAUUGGCUGAGUGUUCCCUUCGUCUCUCUCUCUCUUGCUUCUUUUCCUCUAUUCUCACGAGUGGGGUAGAGGGGACGGGUUGCCCUGUGCACGCCUGCCGGGUAACAUCUUGCCAUGACAUUGCCCGCGAAAGCCACACACACACACACACACACACACACACAGGCAUGCCUAAAGGCACAGCGACCAGCUUCCCUCUUCGUGUCGCAGAGAGUGAGGGGGCGAGGAAGGCAUGUGAUGCGCGACGCAGAAAUGUCCUUCGCCACCAGCGAUGAUGACGGCCGUGCCGCAACGAGCGCCGUUUUUCCUCCUGGCGCUCUCAGCGACUUCUGUAAUUCGCAUCAGCCCUCCCUGCAAAGCCCUCUUUACCACCUCCCAUACAUUUGUCUAUCUAUAUAUAUAUGGAUGUGUGUGUGCGCGCGCGCAUGGACAGGGUCGGCCACGAGCUCCGUCUUCCUCUGCUACAGUCGUUCUGGCUGUCGCCAUUGCCGUGAUGCUCUCUCAGCCCUUCCUCACUACUGCCUCUCGCACGCCUUGAAUGGGCUGCGGCGGAGGCGACGGUUCGACCUUCGGGCGAGGAGCGGAGGACUUCCCCUUCGCAUCAUGGCGCUAUGCGGGUCAGGGAAGCCCCCUCGCAGCGGGUUUCGACAAGGCAUGUGGUGCGCACUUCACCGCACCCAGCGCGGACGGACGGGCGUGCACGGGUGAUGAGCGAUGAAGGAAAAGGUGCGCAAGGAAAAGAGGAGGAGAAGAGGGCACUGAGCGGUCUGUCGGCGUCCUCGAACGCGACGGAACGGACGGCACGUCGCACGCAUGAGCAGACACGCAGACGCGCGGCCACACGCGGACACCCAGGUGCGACAUGCGUGCAGACGAGCCGAGACGAGUUUUUUUUUCAUCUUUUUUCUUCCGUCUUUUCGUGCCUUCAACGCCUCUUUUCUCCGGAUCAGUAAACGCCGAUGCACCAACACAGCACACAGAAGAACGAAGUAGGAACGCGCAUGGGAGGGCGAGCGAGCGAGACAACGUCCCCCCUCCUCCUUCCGCAGGGAGAGGGAGGAUCGCGCCACGCCUUCUUGUUCUUCUGUUGACGGAGCAGCUCAUCUCCACGAGAAUGCGUGUGCGUGGGCAUCUUUUCACCACUCGCUUUCUCGACACGUGGAGCCUACCCUGCGCUUCGCUUCCUCUUCGCGGCUCGAUGGAGCGCGCUCUGCGCAGGAGGCGGUGGAUCUGAGGGCAGAGAUGGG
Molecule: unclassified non-coding RNA, 3471 nt
Filed under: Leishmania donovani
Lineage: Eukaryota; Euglenozoa; Kinetoplastea; Trypanosomatida; Trypanosomatidae
Description: gene:LdHU3.11.1450(CDS-product:SKP1-like_protein)
Source: RNAcentral